UNUGAAGUUAAAGGCAGUGGCUCAACCNUUGUAGGCUUUGGAAACUGUUUAACUNGAGUGCAGAAGGGGAGAGUGGAAUUCCAUGUGUAGCGGUGAAAUGCGUAGAUAUAUGGAGGAACACCGGUGGCGAAAGCGGCUCUCUGGUCUGUAACUGACGCUGAGGCUCGAAAGCGUGGGGAGCGAACAGGAUUAGAUACCCUGGUAGUCCACGCCGUAAACGAUGAGUGCUAGGUGUUAGGUCCUUUCCGGGACUUAGUGCCGCAGCUAACGCAUUAAGCACUCCGCCUGGGGAGUACGACCGCAAGGUUGAAACUCAAAGGAAUUGACGGGGGCCCGCACAAGCGGUGGAGCAUGUGGUUUAAUUCGAAGCAACGCGAAGAACCUUACCAGGUCUUGACAUCCCGAUGCCCGCUCUAGAGAUAGAGCUUUACUUCGGUACAUCGGUGACAGGUGGUGCAUGGUUGUCGUCAGCUCGUGUCGUGAGAUGUUGGGUUAAGUCCCGCAACGAGCGCAACCCUUAUUGUUAGUUGCCAUCAUUCAGUUGGGCACUCUAGCGAGACUGCCGGUAAUAAACCGGAGGAAGGUGGGGAUGACGUCAAAUCAUCAUGCCCCUUAUGACCUGGGCUACACACGUGCUACAAUGGCUGGUACAACGAGUCGCAAGCCGGUGACGGCAAGCUAAUCUCUGAAAGCCAGUCUCAGUUCGGAUUGUAGGCUGCAACUCGCCUACAUGAAGUCGGAAUCGCUAGUAAUCGCGGAUCAGCACGCCGCGGUGAAUACGUUCCCGGGCCUUGUACACACCGCCCGUCACACCACGAGAGUUUGUAACACCCGAAGUCGGUGAGGUAACCGUAAGGAGCCAGCCG
RNAcentral lists this ribosomal RNA (866 nucleotides) under uncultured bacterium. RNAcentral describes it as "bacterial SSU rRNA". It matches the Rfam family "Bacterial small subunit ribosomal RNA", at positions 588 to 1455 of the family's 1533-position model. The record is from RNAcentral.